AAAAAAAAAAAAGUUUUUUUUUUUUUUUAGGAAAAUCUCCUCAGGGCAUAUGGGCUAUGACUUUCUAAACUUGCUUUCUCUUGCUGCCCUUAUUUCUUUUAAAUAAAAAUUGCCCAGGAAACUAAGAUUCAUUAAGAGUGAUGGGAGGAAAAUAUGACUGAGCUGAAAAGGGUUUGUGCUUAGUGCUUAGCAGGAAACUCACAAGGGCCUCUUAAGGAAAUCUAUAAGAUCAGAGAAUAUGAGGGCUGGGAAGGACCUAAAGAUCAUAUAGUUUCAACUCCUCCUUUGAAGGCAGAAAAACUGAGGUCCAGAUAAGAAAAACUUAUUAUCCAAAUGGACACAGCAAGUCAGCCAAGUAACUGAGUCUUGAACUCACGUCUCCCACAAUUCAGCCAAAUUAGGCCAACUUCUCCAGAAAGCAGAGCCUGAGACAAGGAUUACGUACCCUAAUGCACUGAUGCUUUACUUGAGACGUGAGCCCCAGGAAGUGAGAGUGAAGAAAAAGGGAAGCCAGGCAAGGAAAGGGGGCAGCAAUGUGCCAAAAUGCCAUGGGUAGAACGCUUGUGCCUGCACCAAUUACAGGCUGAUCUACUCAGGGCUUGAGACUUCCCAGAAGUUGCAAGAAGAAACUGCCUCUCUGAAUAGGGAAUCUAGAAACCGUGCCAUCCCCAACCAAUCAUAUGGUAUGUUGAGGUUUCCUCAACCCCAGUUGGGAUCGCUUAGGCAUAGGUGCUACACCAACUCCCAGCUUGGGUGACCAAUGCAUCCAGAUUUGCCCGAGAUGUGCCUGAUUUUGUACUGAAAGCCCCUCAUCUCAGCAAACCCCUCGAUGGGAGGUAAAGUGGGUCAUUUGGUUGCCCCUACCCUGGAAGACCCUGGUGUGUCUCUACUCCAGCUGUCACAGUAACUCUUUACUGGUUCCCAUCCCUUUCCUCUCUCACUUCCCUGCAGGUGUCUACUAGGAUCCUCAUCCAGUUAAACUGCUUGCCUUUCAGCCUUCAUCACAGGGAUGUCUGCUUCUGGGGGAACCCAUGUGCCGUGCGCACAGCAUGCACUCAAAAAUGUUAGGAGUAAUCAGUUUAAAAUGACAUGCAUGGUCUUCUCCCUCUCCCUUCCAGCUGCUUGGGAACUAGAGCAACAUAGUUGCGCAACCCCUGGUCUGCUCCUUGGGCAUCCCACAAGUCAGCAGUCUGAACAAGAGCUUGAAUCUGGUUUUGCCUGCUCCAGGCAGCAGAUACAACAAAUUUGUAUAGCUGCUUUAACUAGGGAAGUUUGUGCUCUAAAAGGAUUUAGUUGAGAAUGACUACACUACUCAUGGAAUAGAAUAUGAUCUAUAAUUUAUCAUACUUUUAAUGUAAGCCCUGUUUGUAUUCAAUAAUGCACAAUUUCUCACAGUGUGGUUAGCAAUCCACCCAUCUACAUCCUAAACAUAGGGGUGGGUGGCUUGUUCAAAAUGAUGGUUCCUGGGUCCCACACAGACACCAUCUACUGAAUAUUGCCAAGUGGGGUCUGAUCAUCCCCAAGAGAUUCUGAGGCACAUUCAACUUGGAGUGUCAUUGCCUGAACAACUGAUUAAGACUUUGCUCCUCCUCCUUGGGAAACUGGUGAGCAUUCCUCACCAGGCUCAAUUUGACCCAAGUGGACUCUGCCCCUUUGUACUGCCAAGGUUAUGCAGUUCCCCCGGGAGAGCCCUUUCCUGCUCUUGUCCAAGGGUCUGCCCUGACACAGCCACUUCCUCAGGGGCCUGUGUUUUCAGUCUCUGCUACAGAAUCUGUUCAGCAUUCAAAAUACAAGCCUUUAUCUACCAUGGUGCGAGAGUAAAUGCCUCUGCUCAUGAUGAAUUAAUGCAGAUGGCGUGUAGGAGUCCUCCUUGACCUGGCCCUCUAUGUCUACCUGGUCUCAGGUCCAGAGAGAGGCAGCACACCUCACCUUGAGCCUAGGCUGCCAUCAUCAAAGAAUGUUUUGUACUAACUCCUUUUGGUGGCAAAGAAUUUCAUCUCUGAGACCCAAGAUGGAAAUGGAUUUUCCCCACUGGCAAAGCCCAAAGGCCCUGACUACUCCAUGAUGCCACUGAGUAACCCCGACUGCCACCUCCUCUCACCAGCUGAAACAACUCGAGAGGUCCUGAUUAACCAUUUAACCCUCACUGCAGAGUCUCCUCGUGUGUUUUCUUGGGCACACACAGGUUUCCUCUACUACACUGCGGACUUCUUAAGGGCAAGGAUCAUGUCUAGGUGACCUUUAAUCUCCAGCAAAAAUCCCAAAUCCUGGCUCAGAGAAGGUGUUCAUUUGCUGAAAAAAAAACUUAUAUAUUUCCUAUAAUAUACAGAAAAUAUAUAUCAUAAUGAACGGUCAAUAUCUAUGCCAUUAUCUGAUUUUUUUUUUUUUUUUGUCUUUUUGCCAUUUCUUGGGCCACUCCUGCGGCAUAUGGAAGUUCCCAGGCUAGGGGUCGAAUCAGAGCUGAAGCCACUGGCCUACACCAGGGCCACAGCAACACUGGGUCCGAGCAGCGUCUGCAACCUACACCACAGCUCACGGCAACGCCAGAUCGUUAACCCACUGAGCAAGGGCAGGGACCGAACCCGCAACCUCAUGGUUCCUAGUCGGAUUUGUUAAUCACUGUGCCACGACGGGAACUCCACAUUAUCUGAUUUUUAUUUUCUUCACAAUACUUAUCAUUAUCUAAAAUUACCAAGUUCGAAAAAAAAAUUAAAAAAUUAAAAAAAUAAAAUUACCAAGUUUGUCUAUAGUCAUCUGUUCCCCCCCCAACCUUAACACACGUUAGAAUGUAACCCCUCUGGGAGUGUUAGGAGCUGAAUUGUGCACCCCCAAACUUCAUAUAUUGAAGUUCUAACUCCCCAGCAUUUCGGAAUGUGACUGUAUUUGGAGAUCGGACUCUGAAAAGGUAAUUAAGGCUACAUGAGGCCAUUAUGGGGGGCCCUAAAGCAAGAUGACUGACACCCUAAUAAAAGGAGGAAAUUAGGGCAUAGACUCAUCCAGAGGGAAGACCACAGGAAGACACAGCGAGAAAAUGGCCAUCUACGAACCAGGCAGCGAGGCCACAGAAGAAACCAAUCCUGCCAACACCUUCAUCUCAGACUAGAUCUGGCCUCCUGAACUCCAAGAAAAUAGUUUUGUUUUUCAAGCCACCCAAUCUACGUAACUUGUAAUGGUAGCCCUAGAAAACUAAUUUAGCAAGAAAGAGGUAGGUCUGCCUCGGUUAUUUCUAUGUCCCUAGCACCUGGAACAGUUUCUGCCACACAGUAGGUGCUUCGUAAAUAACUGCUGAAUGAACACUGAAAAUACAAACUACUUACUAUGCCCCCCAAAUGUACAUACUGUUUGCUACAUAUGAGUCUUUGCUGUUCCUCAGCCUAAAACCCCCUUCUGCAUCCAGCCAAAGAAAUCUCAUUUUCCCCUCAAAACUCAAUUCAGACUCAUAUUCUCCUAAGAUGCCCUUGACACCUGCCUGCCCGCCCCCAGACAGAAUUGAUCCUCUCUUCUCUGUGCUUUUCUGCACUCUGUACACAUACGACUGUGUCACUGUAACUGCUAGGCUGUAAGCUUGACUUCAGAAACCAUAUUCAACUCUGAUCCCUGCCAUCCGGCACUGGGCCUGGUGCAGAGCAAAUGAUCCCUCACUAAAUCGCCAGGCUCUCUGAAUCCUUAGCAUCUAACUGCAAAGUAGACAGUCCCUGCCUGAUGACUUGCUGCUGAUAGGGAACAGAUCCACACACAAACGUCUGGCACUUUCUGGUGCAGAAAUAACUUUCUGGCCCAAGAUGGAGCCACUUCCGCCCAAGGAGCCACAUCCACACCCCAAAACCUGGAUAACUUUUGUGUGCCUGGAAAUGUUCUGCUUGACCAGAAACACAGUAUAUCUGGCCAGCCCGACCUCAAGUGCCAAGCCAGCUCCAGGCUCUAUAUUACUUCCUUGUUCCUUCUCACCCCAAACAAGGUUGACAGCAUGGCCCCAGCCAUUGAGAGAGUUUCUAUUUUUCUCUUCCUUAUUCUUUAUUCCUAUAUCCUAUAAAAGCACCCUGCCUUCUGCUCCAUUUUGCAGUUCUAUGAAUGGAGACCACCUGCUUCAUGCAGUUUAUCACCUAAAUUGUCUUCUUUCAUCAUUUGCGACACAAGUAUUUGCUGGAUUGCAAUUUACAAAAUGAUCGGGGCUGUAUCACACUAAUUGUUUGCUUAGAUGCCCACCAUUGUCCUCUCCUGCUGAACAAACCACCCGCUCUUGUAGAAUUCUCUACCUGGCACUUUUCAAACUCAGUGAGUUCCAAGAGUUACUUCUGAACAUGACUCACUGUAAGAAACUUGAACUCAGCCCAGCUGUGAGUGGGGCACAACACUUCAUCCUGCACCCCAGUGCACGUCUUCACUCGGAAGCCAGCAACAGGCAGGUCUCUUCCCUGCGAGGACGCAGCCUGGAGUUGGGGGGGGCCUGCACACACCCCCUCCCAGGGGUUGAGGCAAAACCAGCCCCAGUUGCACAGCCUGCAUUUUGCCUUAAGGAACAAAAUCUGCAUGGAAAGAAAACACUGACAGGAACCAUCUGCCCUCCCCUGAAGCUUGAAAGAGGCUACAUGUGGACCCCUUAAUCCUUCCUCCCUCCCCUCGGCCAGGAAUGAAUUUCAUUUGGAGGGAAAACGAGGGGGGCUGUGAGGGAGAGGGAGCAGAGAGAGGUAGGCCAGGCACAUCUGGACACUUUGCUCGGUAAAUUCAGAAGACUGCAGGGAAUCACUUUCUCCCCUUGAAAAGGAAAUGGGCCAUGGUCAGAAAUUGAUGACUUGCAAAACGCAGGCAGGCGAAGAGGUUAUUGUGCCUCGAGGUCUUUGGGGCUUAGAAAAAAGGAAAGAGCAAAUAAUUUAAAUGGGGCAGCUGUCUGUGGGACCAGAAGCCCCACCACCAGCACCAGGCAGCAGAGAAAGCAGUCCAGGGUCACAAUGUUCAUUUUCCUAUCAAUUUCUUCAGCUAGUCAGCAAGAAUAUCUUAAGACAUACUUGAGAUUAUUAGUAUUAGUAUUAGUAUUAGUAUUAUUAGUAUUAGUAUUAGUAUUGCCAAGCAGGAUGCUUGGUGCUAGGGAAAUAGUCAUGGGCUUAGAUUCACCUUCAUCUAUAAUGGGAGAAACAGUCACAUAAACAAUAAUGCAAACCAACGAUCACAAGCAAUCAUUGGAAACCAGGACAGAUCGGGUGUUAAGUGCUAUAAAUGAGGUAUUU
RNAcentral lists this long non-coding RNA (5225 nucleotides) under Sus scrofa (pig). RNAcentral's name for it is "lncRNA (ENSSSCG00000057142.1)". The record is from RNAcentral. Lineage: Eukaryota; Metazoa; Chordata; Mammalia; Artiodactyla; Suidae.